This is a long non-coding RNA of Gavialis gangeticus (Gharial), 179 nucleotides long. RefSeq lists it as uncharacterized. The transcript is spliced from 3 exons. NCBI's taxonomy places the organism in Eukaryota, Metazoa, Chordata, Crocodylia, Gavialidae. The record is from RefSeq and is a predicted model, not a curated record.
AGCACAGGGAGCUGAAAAGUGAGGGGCCAGUGAUCACAGCCAAGGCUGAUAAGGCCACCCUAGGAAAGAACAAUGGUCCCAGGCCCAUGACUCAGUUUCCCUGCUCCCUCCUGAAUUGGCCAAGAGCCCCUUAUCUCAGAGGAAUGGGCAGGAGUGCAGAAACCUGAAUUGUAUAAAAC